UCAGUGAAAUUUCAUAAAAGUUCUGUGUAUUUGUGUUGAUGUGUUUCUCUCUCUCUCUCUCUGUGUGUGUCUGUCUAUGUGUGUGUGUGUGUUUGUGCCGCUUUGUAUCUCAGGCAGUUGCUGAAGUUAAUGUCUGAGCUUGUUUGAGUUCUGGAUGUUUUCCUGCAGUGCUGUGCAGUAAAUGUGAACGGCAGCAGACUCUUGUGAUGCCUGGCUGGUUGUCAGGGAAACAUUCGCCUGCUGUUGUCUCACUUGUCAUGCCUCCAGUCUUUAGAGCAAAUGGUCAGAUUGGCAUAAGGAGGAGGAUGAUCAUGUGACAUCAACCAUUUGUUACAAACACUUCCAUUUAGCACCAUAAUGUCUUUUAACCUGUAACCAAAAUUAAAAGUAUGCCAUUAAGUCACUGUAGCUAACAUCAGUUAAAAACUUUUUUUUUUAAGACUCUUUCUGGGUUGAAAUAAUAUAACAUGUUAGGUGGAAUUUUUGGUCAGAGGAUGAUGAUGUGACAUACAUCAUUUGUUAUAAAUCGGAACUGUUUAUCAACAUAAUGUCUUUUAGCCCCCACCAAAUAACAACUAUGUCACCAAAAAGGUAUCUCACUAAAUCACUGUAGCUACUAUCAGUUGGAAGCCCCCUUUAUUAAUGUUGAUGUAUGCUUAUGUCAGUUGCCAAAAAAAGUGUCAUAUAGAUGUUCUAACCGUUCCCUAGAGCAUAGCGUUGUUUACCUGUAUAUACCUGUAUACUGUUUACUCACUGUUUUCUCAAAACAUUCCAAGGCACUUAAUAUGUAGCACACAACACCUUGAGUGUAAAGAAGAAAAAAAAACACAUAGAGGGUGUCGUUCAUCAGAAAGUGUGGCCACACAGCAGUGGGCAGCUCCAUCUCAUUCUGACACACUUCACAGACUCGGAGGAACUGGUUCCAGCUCAGGCGUCUGGUGGCUGGGAGCGCGGUGACAGUGAGACACGGCCCGCGCGUGGAAAAACUCCACCUCUGCGGUCGCAUCUGGCAGGACGGGGAGAUUCUGCGCUCAAGUGGAUCCCUGAAGUGGAACUAGAGGUUUUGAUCUGACGUGCUGAUUGUGCUGAAGACGCGACAGACCGAUGAAGAGCAACAUGAGCCCUCACCCUCAGGAUGCACCUCAUCACGGUGUCUGCUGGACCGCAUCAGACAUCUGAAAAUCACAUAUCGAGUUGUGCAAUGUAUAUCAUCUUCUGCUGAUGUACUCUUAGGGCGUGUCAAUUCAUCACUUAUUAGUACACUGUGUUUUUUUUUCUUGAUUACUUUUGACAAGAACAACUCUAAGUACAGGGGUGGCAUUGACAGAAAUGUGUUUCUCAGCGUAUUUCUUAUCACUCAGUUAGCCAUUUCCUUCGUCCUCCUCGUGUUACCGUCACUGUUGUGUAAGCAGAGCCUGGGCCAUGGAAGAGGAAGCUGACACAGUUCAGCCUUGGGUGUACCCUAUAGUCUACUCGUGCCAAGCACUUUCAACUCUUCAACCUCAACAGGAACUCACUAAUGAAGCAUAAACACUUUAUAUCUAUUUAAAUAAAUGUAAUUCAUAAAGAAAA
This is a long non-coding RNA of Clupea harengus (Atlantic herring), 1572 nucleotides long. RefSeq lists it as uncharacterized. Lineage: Eukaryota; Metazoa; Chordata; Actinopteri; Clupeiformes; Clupeidae. The record is from RefSeq and is a predicted model, not a curated record. The transcript is spliced from 2 exons.